Molecule: long non-coding RNA, 1606 nt
Organism: Panthera uncia (snow leopard)
Lineage: Eukaryota; Metazoa; Chordata; Mammalia; Carnivora; Felidae
Exons: 5
Source: RefSeq, a predicted model, not a curated record
GCCAGGUUUCACCAAGAACACUUUCAGUUCCUGUUUCCAAUUGAGGCUGCUCCCUGCCUGGGGCCUAGCCUCAUGUACAAGCCCAUUGGCUAGAAUUGCUUAAAUGUCCCACACAAAUAUAAACACCUCUACAGUGUUGGGAAGAUGAAAGGAAUAUCUUAUUGAUAUUGUAUAUGCUAACGUUUGGAUGUGGGACAGGAAAGACAGCAUUUAACUGCUGGUAUGCAAUGCUGAAGCUGGGCUGCAUGAAGAGAUUUUCAUUUACUGAUGUUGGAUACGUGCCCAGACUGCCAUAGUAGAAUUCAGGGAGAAACACAGAAAGGAGGAGAACCACAGAAUGGUUUUCGCGAACAUCCAUAUGGGGCAGAAGAAUAAAUACAUACGAAGACCGUGUCUCCAAAAAUGAAAGAACUGGCCACUGGGGGACAAUUGUGAGCACCCCUCCCCAAGUCUCAACUUAGCCCUCUUCGUUUGUACUCGAAGUUUUCACAAAUCCAAGUGCCUGAGAAGAUUUGGGAACUCAGGAUUUUGAUCUCCAUGAAGCACAUUUAUUUCAUCCUACUUCUCCAUUCCUGGUCUGUUGGCUGAUACACAGGUCCUGCCACUCUCCACAUGCACAGCAACGUUAUUACUUUUUAAAUACGAGACAGCGACAGCGGUUCCCUCCAGUGGAAAAUGUGCAGUCAAAGCCAUUCAGCCACUAAACCAUCACUGAGGAAAACUAGCGAAUGCAGACUGAAAGGAGUUAAGAAUCUGUAGCUCUAUUCCACAUCAAAGAAGAGAAGCAAGAGUUUCUCACCAGGAGCUGUGCUUCCUACAAGACUGAACAUCUGGGCACCAAACUAUGAUGAAGUAGUGAGAUACUCACCACAGGCACAGAAAUUAAGGAGGCACCAAAAAACUCAUUAAUGAAGGUAAACAGUAUUUUAACAUAACUCUUUUUUUUUUUUUAUUUUACUUUUAAGUAAUCUCUAUACCCAACGUGGGGCUUGAACCUACAACCCUGAGAUCAAGAGUUGCAUACUCCACCAACUGAGCCAGUUAGCCCCCCCUUAAUGGAACAUUUUUUAAAAUCAAAAUCAAGAUGAAAGAAAUCUAUGAUCAACCAAAUAUCAAAAUUGUCAAUAAAGAGAAAACCAAUAUGGCUGAUGCUUUUCCCUUAAGCUCAAUAUGGCCCUGGGCAGGCUUGGUUUUGACUGCCUCUUUCCCUCCCCUUCCUACUUUGACAUCAACAGGAAAAGAGAGGUUUGGAGGUAGCUGUUGAUAGCAAUGUCAGUUCUAUUUCCUUAUAGUAAGCCCUGAGGAAGAUGUAUGGCUUCUAGUAUUGACAGGUCCUUUUACAAAGUAAGAAACUUAGUGUGUUGUGAUUUACAUCAGAUGGCCCUACCUCCUGGCCAGUUCAAGGGCAUUACCAGAAGCCCAGCAAGAGUUUUAAAGAGAGAGAAAUUAGAGGCAACUGGGUGGCUCAGUCAUUAAACACCUGACUCUUGAUUACAGCUAGGCCAUGAUCUCAUGGUUCAUGAGAUCGAGCCUGGCGUUGGCCUCUGUGCUGACAGCACAGAGCCUGCUUAGGAUUCUCUCUCUCCCUCUCUUUCUGCCCCUUCAC